AACGAACGCUGGCGGCAUGCCUAACACAUGCAAGUCGAACGAGACCUUCGGGUCUAGUGGCGAACGGGUGCGUAACGCGUGGGAACCUGCCCUUAGGUUCGGAAUAACUCCCCGAAAGGGGUGCUAAUACCGGAUAAUGUCUUCGGACCAAAGAUUUAUCGACUUUGGAGGGGCCGGCGUUGGAUUAGCUUGUUGGUAGGGUAAAAGCCGAUCAAGGCUACAAUCCACAGCUGGUCAGAGAGGAUGAUCAGCCACACUGGGACUGAGACACAGCCCAGACUCCUACGGGAGGCAGGAGUGGGGGAUAUUGGAAAACGGGGGGAAGGAUGAUCCAGCAAGGACGCGAGAGUGAUGAAGGCGUUAGGGUUGUAAAGCUCUUUUACCCGGGAAGAUAAUGACAGUACCGAGAGAAUAAGCCACGGCUAACUACGUG
This 433-nucleotide ribosomal RNA is filed under the name uncultured bacterium. Its description in RNAcentral is "partial 16S ribosomal RNA". It matches the Rfam family "Bacterial small subunit ribosomal RNA", at positions 29 to 507 of the family's 1533-position model. The record is from RNAcentral.